Molecule: long non-coding RNA, 453 nt
Filed under: Mus musculus (house mouse)
Lineage: Eukaryota; Metazoa; Chordata; Mammalia; Rodentia; Muridae
Description: expressed sequence AI506816, transcript variant 2 (AI506816)
Source: RNAcentral
UGCUCUUCCGCCGCGGCGCGCUCCUGAUGAGUGCUGUGUCCAGGAUGAUCAUGAAUUCAAGCUCUGGAGCUUGAGGUGAACUGGUCCGACUUCCAGAAGAGAAGGUAGGCAUCUGUGUGUAGAGUCAAGAUUUUUUUUUAUGUGUUUUUUUAAAAAUAUUUAUUUACUAUUUUUAUAUGUAAGUACACUGUAACUGUCUUCAGACACACUAGGAGAGGGUGUCAGAUGUCAUUAAGGAUGGUUGUGAGCCUCCAUGUGGUUGCUGGGAUUUGAACUCAGGAUCUUCGGAAGAGCAGUCAGUGCUCUUAACCACUGAGCCGUCUCUCCAGCCCUAGAGUCAAGGUUUUAGGUUACUUUGUCCCCUUCAUAGCAGGAACGGAUGAAUUUUGAGGCAUUCUCAUUGCAUAUAGAGAACAUGAGAAUUUUGUGUCUGUCGAACUAAAUUCCAUUAUU